Molecule: ribosomal RNA, 447 nt
Filed under: uncultured bacterium
Lineage: Bacteria
Description: bacterial SSU rRNA
Rfam family: Bacterial small subunit ribosomal RNA
Source: RNAcentral
CCCAGACUCCUACGGGAGGCAGCAGUGGGGAAUAUUGCACAAUGGGGGAAACCCUGAUGCAGCGACGCCGCGUGAGUGAAGAAGUAUUUCGGUAUGUAAAGCUCUAUCAGCAGGGAAGAUAAUGACGGUACCUGAGUAAGAAGCCCCGGCUAACUACGUGCCAGCAGCCGCGGUAAUACGUAGGGGGCAAGCGUUAUCCGGAUUUACUGGGUGUAAAGGGAGCGUAGACGGCAUGGCAAGUCUGAAGUGAAAGCCCGGGGCUCAACCGCGGGACUGCUUUGGAAACUGUUAAGCUGGAGUGCAGGAGAGGUAAGUGGAAUUCCUAGUGUAGCGGUGAAAUGCGUAGAUAUUAGGAGGAACACCAGUGGCGAAGGCGGCUUACUGGACUGUAACUGACGUUGAGGCUCGAAAGCGUGGGGAGCAAACAGGAUUAGAUACCCGAGUAUU